Molecule: long non-coding RNA, 213 nt
Filed under: Elaeis guineensis (African oil palm)
Lineage: Eukaryota; Viridiplantae; Streptophyta; Magnoliopsida; Arecales; Arecaceae
Description: long non-coding RNA (EGUI_LNC021214)
Source: RNAcentral
CGUCCGCUGGAGGAGUCUUGAGGACACUGGGGAAGAUUGAACGUUGGAGGAGUUCGAAAUUCAAUUCUGUCGUAGAAGUUCGGACGGAGUCCGGCUCUUGUAGGAGUUCAGAUAGAGACUUCUUAUUGUAGAAGCUCGGACGAAGGCCGGCUGUCGUGGAAGCUCGGAUGGAGACUUCUUAUUGUAGAAGUCCCGCUGCUAGAGAAGUUCGGU